This 130-nucleotide microRNA precursor is filed under the name Prunus dulcis (almond). RNAcentral describes it as "sRNA ncRNA". Lineage: Eukaryota; Viridiplantae; Streptophyta; Magnoliopsida; Rosales; Rosaceae. The record is from RNAcentral.
GAGAGAAGAUGAGGGGAGGAUGGGAUGAAUGAGUAACAAAAGUGAACACAAAAACUAAAAACUGAAAUAUAUCUGAAAUUGUUUUCACUUUUGUUACUCAUCCCUCUCAUCAUCCUCUCUCUCUCUCUCU